This 330-nucleotide ribosomal RNA is filed under the name Photobacterium damselae. RNAcentral describes it as "partial 23S ribosomal RNA". It matches the Rfam family "Bacterial large subunit ribosomal RNA", at positions 2619 to 2925 of the family's 2925-position model. Lineage: Bacteria; Pseudomonadati; Pseudomonadota; Gammaproteobacteria; Vibrionales; Vibrionaceae. The record is from RNAcentral.
UCGUGAGACAGUUCGGUCCCUAUCUGCCGUGGGCGUUGGAUGAUUGAGAGGGGCUGCUCCUAGUACGAGAGGACCGGAGUGGACGAACCUCUGGUGUUCGGGUUGUGUCGCCAGACGCAUUGCCCGGUAGCUAAGUUCGGAAUCGAUAACCGCUGAAAGCAUCUAAGCGGGAAGCGAGCCUCAAGAUGAGUCAUCCCUGAUACUUUAAGUAUCCUAAAGGGUUGUUGGAGACUACGACGUAGAUAGGCAGGGUGUGUAAGCGCUGUGAGGCGUUGAGCUAACCUGUACUAAUUGCCCGUGAGGCUUAACCAUACAACACCCAAGGGGUUU